Non-coding RNA from Homo sapiens (human), 117 nucleotides. It matches the Rfam family "Metazoan signal recognition particle RNA". Rfam says of the family: The signal recognition particle (SRP) is a universally conserved ribonucleoprotein. It is involved in the co-translational targeting of proteins to membranes. The record is from Rfam. Lineage: Eukaryota; Metazoa; Chordata; Mammalia; Primates; Hominidae.
GCUGGGCAUGGUGGCUCAUGCCCGUAAUCCCAGCACUUUGGGAGGCUGAGGCGGGUGGAUCACCUGAGGUCAGGAGUCCUAGACCAGCCUGGCUAACAUGGUGACACCCUGUCUCUA